CAAUAGCGUAUAUUAAAGUUGUUGCAGUUAAAAAGCUCGUAGUUGGAUUUGUGGCGUACGGUGUGUUCCGGGCACUUGUUGUCUGAGUAACCUGCUGUUGCCAUCCUUGGGUGGAACCCGUGUGGCAUUAGGUUGUCGUGCAGGGGAUGCCCAUCAUUUACUGUGAAAAAAUUAGAGUGUUCAAAGCAGGCUUAUGCCGUUGAAUAUAUUAGCAUGGAAUAAUGAGAUAGGACUUUUUUGCUAUUUUGUUGGUUUGCGCAAAGAGGUAAUGAUUAAUAGGGACAGUUGGGGGUAUUCGUAUUCCAUAGUCAGAGGUGAAAUUCUUGGAUUUUUGGAAGACGAACUACUGCGAAAGCAUUUACCAAGGAUGUUUUCAUUAA
RNAcentral lists this ribosomal RNA (380 nucleotides) under uncultured eukaryote. RNAcentral's name for it is "partial 18S ribosomal RNA". It matches the Rfam family "Eukaryotic small subunit ribosomal RNA", at positions 592 to 976 of the family's 1831-position model. The record is from RNAcentral.